RNAcentral lists this ribosomal RNA (595 nucleotides) under Bacillus sp. (in: firmicutes). RNAcentral describes it as "bacterial SSU rRNA". It matches the Rfam family "Bacterial small subunit ribosomal RNA", at positions 52 to 629 of the family's 1533-position model. Lineage: Bacteria; Bacillati; Bacillota; Bacilli; Caryophanales; Bacillaceae. The record is from RNAcentral.
UACAUGCAAGUCGAGCGGACAGAUGGGAGCUUGCUCCCUGAUGUUAGCGGCGGACGGGUGAGUAACACGUGGGUAACCUGCCUGUAAGACUGGGAUAACUCCGGGAAACCGGGGCUAAUACCGGAUGCUUGAUUGAACCGCAUGGUUCAAAUAUAAAAGGUGGCUUCUACUACCACUUACCGAUGGACCCCCCGCCCAAUAACUAAUUGGUGAAGUAACCGCUCACCCAAGCCACCAUUCCUAACCCAACUGAAAAGGUGAUCCGCCACACUGGGACUGAAACACCGCCCAAAAUCCUACCGGAGGCAACAAUAAGGAAUCCUCCGCAAUGGACCAAAGUCUGACCGAACAACCCCCCCUGAGUGAUGAAAGUUUUCCGAACCUAAAACUCUGUUGGUAAGGAAAAACCAGUGCCCUUCCAAUAAGGCGGCACCUUGACCGUACCUAACCCGAAAGCCACCGCUAACUACCUGCCCACAACCCCCGUAAUACCUAAGUGGCAAGCGUUGUCCGGAAUUAUUGGGCGUAAAAGGCUCCCAAGCCGUUUCCUAAAUCUGAAGUGAAAACCCCCCGCUCAACCCGGGAAGGUCAUUGG